This 703-nucleotide ribosomal RNA is filed under the name uncultured Methanomicrobiales archaeon. RNAcentral's name for it is "bacterial SSU rRNA". It matches the Rfam family "Archaeal small subunit ribosomal RNA", at positions 126 to 836 of the family's 1478-position model. Lineage: Archaea; Methanobacteriati; Methanobacteriota; Methanomicrobia; Methanomicrobiales. The record is from RNAcentral.
AUAACCCCGGAAAACUGGGGAUAAUACCCCAUAGACUACAGAAGCUGGAAUGCUCUGUAAUCGAAAGGUCCGCCGCCCAGAUGGGUCUGCGGCUGAUUAGGUUGUUGUUGGGGUAACGGCCCAACAAGCCUGUAAUCAGUACGGGUUGUGGGAGCAAGAACCCGGAGAUGGAUUCUGAGACACGAAUCCAGGCCCUACGGGGCGCAGCAGGCGCGAAAACUUUACAAUGCGAGAAAUCGUGAUAAGGGAACCCCGAGUGCCCGUAAAUUCGGGCUGUUAAUCUGUGUAAAAAGCAGGUGGAGAAAGGGCCGGGCAAGACCGGUGCCAGCCGCCGCGGUAAUACCGGCGGCUCGAGUGGUGGCCACUAUUACUGGGCUUAAAGCGUCCGUAGCUGGAUUGUUAAGUCUCUUGGGAAAUCUACCGGCUUAACCGAUAGGCGUUCAAGGGAUACUGGCAAUCUAGGGACCGGGAGAGGUGAGAGGUACUCCAGGGGUAGGAGUGAAAUCCUGUAAUCCUUGGGGGACCACCUGUGGCGAAGGCGUCUCACCAGAACGGCUCCGACAGUGAGGGACGAAAGCUGGGGGAGCAAACCGGAUUAGAUACCCGGGUAGUCCCAGCUGUAAACGAUGUGCGUUAGGUGUAUCGGUGACCACGAGUCACCGAGGUGCCGAAGAGAAAUCGUGAAACGUACCGCCUGGGAAGU